GACUGGUGGAGGAGAAAAAAGACAGAGGAAAAAGAGGGACACAUUGAAGAAGACAAUCUAACAUUC
Toxotes jaculatrix (banded archerfish) is the source of this 66-nucleotide small nucleolar RNA. RefSeq annotates it as small nucleolar RNA SNORD109A. The record is from RefSeq and is a predicted model, not a curated record. The transcript has a single exon. Lineage: Eukaryota; Metazoa; Chordata; Actinopteri; Toxotidae.